This is a long non-coding RNA of Salvia miltiorrhiza (redroot sage), 653 nucleotides long. RefSeq lists it as uncharacterized. The transcript is spliced from 2 exons. The record is from RefSeq and is a predicted model, not a curated record. Lineage: Eukaryota; Viridiplantae; Streptophyta; Magnoliopsida; Lamiales; Lamiaceae.
AAAAACUAGAAAUUGAGAUGUGGGGAACAAAAGCUAUAUAUAUCUGUAAUCUGUAUACCGUUGCUUAAUUUCCCUCUCCCCUCUUGGACGCAUCCGCAUCCCUCAAACCCUAGAUUUCAACUGUUUCAGAUCUCUUCUCGGCAUUGGCAGACGAACAAAUACAAGAAAUUUUGAAAUUGCAACAAGAAGUUUCAUCAAAAAAGAUUGCUCUGGCGGCUGCUAAGAGACGUUUAAAGGAAUUGGAUAGUCAAGCGAGAAAGUGCAAAGCUGAAAAGCGAAGACUGAGGGAUGAAAUUUCAAAGGCCGGUGUUGCUGUAGUAUAUAAUAGAGAAGACGUUCCAGCAGUUAAAGAAUUGGUGGAAACCUAUAACGUUGACUGUGUUUUUGUCCCAUUCACCGAUGAAAUUAAGAAGGAGAUGAGGGAUGCCGGCCUUAAUGUAGGACCAUGACACAAGCUGCAGAAUACAUAGAAAAGAUUAUGCUCAAUACUUUGCAAGGAGUAAAGGUUGUUGAUCAAGUUGGAGGAAAGCUAAAGCUAUCAAUACAUGAUGUGCCAAGAUUUUUUGAAUUUUGAAGUUGUUUUCGAUAUAUUCAGUGGAGAUGUUAUUAGUUUUGCUGAUAAAUACCAAUAAAUUUGUGGAAAUAAUUUGAUU